GUGCUCACUUUGGCAAUUCAUAUAUUAAAAUUGGAAAAAUACAGAAAUUAGCAUGGCCCCUGUACAAGAAGGACACAGAAAUUUGUGAAGCAUUCCAUAUUUUU
Small nuclear RNA from Myotis daubentonii (Daubenton's bat), 104 nucleotides. Lineage: Eukaryota; Metazoa; Chordata; Mammalia; Chiroptera; Vespertilionidae. The record is from RefSeq and is a predicted model, not a curated record.